CAGACAUUUAGGCUACAUCUCAAACCAAUAGCAUCACUCUUCAUGGGGAAGGGCCUCAAGAUAUAUAUUGAAGUUUCCCAGGAUUCUUCAAGGAAAAUUUGGGACUUUCAUUAUGGGGUACAACUUCACUCCAUACCUCGUUAGAUAACUUUCUAUUCUUAAUGGGUAUUGUGAACAUGUCAAUGGCAUUACACGUGGCCUGCAAUAUCUAACAAUGGAUUGCUAAGAACAUGGCAGAAGGCUAUUUGAGGGUUGGGGUGAAGACAAGGGGGAAAUCAGCAAGCAGUCAGUACUACUCAAUCAAGCAGAUGGAAAUUGGGAACCGACUGCUUACUGCUAUCCCUGAAAAGAAAUGCAUCUAAGCCUCUCCCUUAGUUUAUGUUCCAGAUGAAAGAAUCUGGGAAAAGAGAAGACAGAACUAUAUUAAUACUGGCUCCUGCACAGAAGUGGCCAUAGUUCAUGGGGGAAGAGACACCAUUUCCUCCAGUACCCCUCACCCUAUACCCAUUCCUCAGUCAUACUGCAGGUAAGUUUCCUGGGUCUCCCUAACAUUCUGGCCAGAAAGAGAUAAUUGUGAAGUACGUACAGUGUUGCUCUGUUACUUCUAGUGGUUCCUCUCUGUGGAAGAGCUUUUAUUUUUAUCUCAAAAGCAUUUAUCACCCAACCAGUAUCAUUCAAAAGUCA
Molecule: long non-coding RNA, 684 nt
Filed under: Bos taurus (domestic cattle)
Lineage: Eukaryota; Metazoa; Chordata; Mammalia; Artiodactyla; Bovidae
Description: long non-coding RNA NONBTAT026693
Source: RNAcentral